Molecule: non-coding RNA, 5111 nt
Organism: Nerophis lumbriciformis (worm pipefish)
Lineage: Eukaryota; Metazoa; Chordata; Actinopteri; Syngnathiformes; Syngnathidae
Source: RefSeq, a predicted model, not a curated record
CGGGCCCCGGCCUCAGGGCCACUCACGCCGGGCCCGUCAGCAGCAGUCCCAGCCCGCCGCGGCUCGGCACUGGCCUCCCACUUCAAGCACAGGUGGCUCGCAGCGAGCUCAACGUUCGUCUGCCCAGAGGGUUUGAGCGCCGCCCCCUGAAGCACCCGACUUGCGCCGAGGGAACAGAGGGAGACAGCGGCUCUCCGCAGCCCCCCCGCACAAGCACCGUCCCUGCUUUAGUGCCAAAGCCACCCACCUACCCACUGGUCAGGCUGGUGGGCAAGUUCUACACCCUAAAGUGCCGGUUCUGUGAGGUAGAGUUCCACGGUCCACUAUCUGUGCAAGAGGACUGGAUCCGACACCUCCAGCAACACAUCCUCAAGAUGAGCUACAACAAGCCCGCCGAACCCAAAGCGGCGUCGGCCGAAUCUGGCGAGCCGACCCUGGUCCACCGGGCCCUGGCCUCGCGGCCCGCCCCCGGCACGUCCGCCGUGCCCCCCUCCGCCGCUCCGAACUCCCCUGCGGCCCCAGCAGAACUUGCUCGGGAGAUAGUCCCAUCCCAUCCCAUCCCCCUCCCUGCCCAGGUGAUGUGAUCGUGUUUUCACUUUCUUUUGCUUUGCUUUAUUCCGAGGGGCAACGCUCCUCUUCCACCUUUCGGUCAAGGCCCAGGAGCCUUGUGAGCACCUUUCUGGAGCAGCUGUUUAGACUGUUACCAUGGGGACCAAGUUCUCCGGGCUUAAGUGUGAUCACAGGAGAGAUAAGCUAAUCUUAUGCCUUGUUUAUUUUGAAUGUCCAGUUGACAUUGCUGUACCCCACCAGGUCACCCAGGCAACGGGGUGUUGCCCGGGUGACCUAAAGGUUUAACGGCCCCCCUUUUUUCCCGGUUUUGGCUCUCACUGAUCCGACCCAUUUCUACCAGCACUCUCUAAAAGACAAGGGGUGUCCAAACUUCUCCAAAAAUGUUUGGAUACGGGGGCCACUUUGAUACAUUUUGCAAGUGAAAGAGGCUAAAACCAAUCCGAUGUACAGCUAGUCAAUACAGUAGUUAUUCGGUACCACAGUGGUAUUUGGACUAGUUUGAGACGGCAUUCGAAAACUUUUGGUUAAAUUGUAAAAUUGAAUCGUACAAAAGUAGGGAUGGGUAUCAAAUUUAGGACUUUUAUAGGUACCAACCGAAACUACUUGGAUGCCAAUUGACGUCAAAUCAAAUAUUGCCAUAUAUUUCUUGCAUGUCACGUCCAGUUGCAAACUGGGCACCGGCUCAAGCAUUUAGCCGGGAAACAAGCAGUCAAAGCCAAACUGUCACUAGGUAAUGUUUUCAUUCUGCACACCAACAAAGCCAGAAGAAGGCGGUCAAAAGUACUGUAUGGCUCUACUUUUCAAAAUGUGCCAGCUCGAUGCAAAUUUAUAUUCGAUUUGCCCUACAAAUGCUAAAGAUUAGCAUUAGCGAUUUUACAUGGCACCUCCAAAUUUGGUAAACAAAACUACAACUAAGAUGCACGUUACAAUCAAACAAUCCACUUAAUGGCAAAGACUACUUCCUGGCUAAGGCAACACGACGUAGCCCUCAAGCUCUUAACCUUUUUGGCCUCGUGGCCCAACUUUUCCACUUCAGACGGGCCCCGGGUCCCACUCAAAGAUUAACACUGAAUUUGUAAUCUUGCUCUUGAUUUUACUCAUAUUCAAUAAUUAUAUCUUACCUACUUACAGUUUACAACCUUGUCAAAUGAUAUACAAUGUUUAUUAUUUUUCAAGGCUUAGGUCAGGCUGAUUACCAAAAUAUAUUCUAAUCAAAUAUACUGCAAAAGAAGGGAUUCAUAAAAAAUUAUGAAAGAUACAUUUACAUAUUCAUUGAAAUGCAUUACAAUUAUUUAAUCCAAUUUUUUUAUACAAUUUACACAUUACGUUGUGCUAAAAUAAAUAAAUGUUUAAUAAAAUACUAAUUUAAAAAAUCCCGAUAAGUUUCUGAAAUAAACUGUCAAUAAAAUUUAAGUGCAAAUUAAAAAAUACAGUUUCACCAAUUUAGUCAUAAUUUUUGCGCUGAAGAACUUCAGCUUUAAGACUUCUUCUGUCUGUCUGACAUUGUCAUUGCUGCCACAAGUGGCACAAAAGUGUAUUACAAUUUAAUACAGCUGAGAAACAGAUAUUUCUUGGCGGUUAAGGAACACUGCCGUAGCCUAUACACUGCUGCCGCUGCAUGCAAAGUCAAAUAUAUAAUACUUGCAAAUGAGACACAGAAGUGUAAGAAAACAAGAAAACUGGACAGUACAGCUCAGUGUUAAAGACAUUUUUAUUUUUAUUUUUUUAAACACACAAAAGUACCAAAAAUUGGCACCAGUAUGGAGUUAAAUGUGAAAGGUACCCAUCCCUAUGUGAAAGUAAGAUGUACAAAAACUCUAUAUGCUUAGCUAUGUAUGUGAACAAAACAUCCACCUUUUUGAUGUGUAAUAGGUGACAAAGAUAGUAGUGUCAUUUUUAAUGAUACCUCUCAUUAAUAAUGACUUCAUUACAUGUUUUAGAUUUUGCCGACGAUUAAUGAAACAUUAGAUCCAGGCCAAAAGUGGCCCCCGGGCAGCACCUUGGACACCCCCGCUGUAAGAGAAUGCCGGCAGCACCGCAGCAGGCACAAGACAUUGAAACAACGUUGAGAACUAGUUGAAUUAGGUCCUGAUGUUAAGCGACUCAAACAUAACGUUGGAACAUGAUUUUUGACGACUUUUAAUCAAUGUCAGGUUGUGACGUUGAUUUAACAUAAAAUUUUGGUCAUUUUCCAACCAAUAUUCUACAACACAAAUACAACGUUGACACAACGUGCUUUUUGACGUUUAAUCAAUGUUGGGGUCUGACGUUGAUUUGACCAUUGAAAUUGAGUAAUUUCCCAACCAAUAUUCUACAACACAAAUACAACGUUGAAACAACAUGCUUUUUGACAACGUUUAAUCGAUGUUGGCUUCUGACGUUGAUUGGACCAUUGAAAUUUGGUCAUUUUCCAACCGAUAUUCUUUUACAACACAAAUACAACGUUGAAACAACAUGCUUUUUGACAACGUUUAAUCAAUGUUGGGUUCUGGCGUUGAUUUGACCAUUGAAAUUGAGUAAUUUCCCAACCAAUAUUCUACAACACAAAUACAACGUUGAAACAACAUGCUUUUUGACAACGUUUAUUUAAUGUUGGGUUCUGGCGUUGAUUUGACCAUUUAAUGUGGUCAUUUUUCAACCAAUAUUCAACAACACAAAUACAACGUUGAAACAACAUGCUUUUUGACGAUGUUUAUUCAAUGUCAGGUUGUGACGUUGAUUUAACAUUACAUUUUGGUCAUUUUCCAACCAAUAUUCUGCAACGCAAAUACAACACUGAAACAACAUGCUUUUUGACAACGUUUAAUCAAUGUUGGGUUCUGACAUUGAUUUGACCAUUGAAAUUUGGUCAUUUCCUAACCAAUAUUCUACAACACAAAUACAACGUUGAAACAACAUGCUUUUUGACGUUUAAUCAAUGUUGGUUCUGAUGUUGAUUUGACCAUUGAAAGUGAGUAAUUUCCCAACCAAUAUUCAACAACACAAAUACAACGUUGAAACAACAUGCUUUUUGACGACGUUUAUUCAAUGUCAGGUUGUGACGUUGAUUUAACAUUACAUUUUGGUAAUUUUCCAACCAAUAUUCAACAACACAACAAAUACAAUGUUGAAACAACAUGCUUUUUGACCACAUUUAAUCAAUGUUGGGUUCUGACGUUGAUUGGACCAUUGAAAUUUGGUCAUUUUCCAACCGAUAUUCUUUUACAACACAAAUACAACGUUGAAACAACAUGCUUUUUGACAACGUUUAUUCAAUGUUGGCAUCUGGCGUUGAUUUGAUAAUUUAAUGUGGUAAUUUUUCAACCAAUAUUCAACAACACAAAUACAACGUUGAAACAACAUGCUUUUUGAUGACGUUUAUUCAAUGUCAGGUUGUGACGUUGAUUUAACAUUACAUUUUGGUCAAUUUCCAACCAAUAUUCUGCAACACAAAUACAACACUGAAACAACAUGCUUUUUGACAACGUUUAAUCAAUGUUGGGUUCUGACGUUGAUUUGACCAUUGAAAUUUGGUCAUUUCCUAACCAAUAUUCAACAACACAAAUACAACGUUGCAACGACAUGCUUUUUGACGACGUUUAAUCAAUGUUGGGUUCUGAUGUUGAUUUGAACAUUGAAUUUUAGUCAAUUCCCAACCAACAAUGUGGAUCCAACGUUAGACAUCAAUGUUGUCUCAAUUUACAAAUACCGGUACAACUAUUUUGCAACGUUGUUUAGAAGUCCGUUUUAAAAGGACAUGUACGUAUAAUCAACGUUGUUUCAAUGUCUUGUGCCUGCUGGUACCAGUCCCACACAAAUGUCCUGACUGAAAUAUGAGAUUUCGAACUCCAGCCAGUCUCGCGAUGGCUACUUUAAAACGCAUUUUUUAACACUUUGUGUUAAACAAACAUGGCACUUUUUCGACAUCGACACUGAGCACUUAACUAAAGAAAGAAAACAUUUGUCACUUUUUUUUUUUUAGAAGGAGCAAGAAGUGGAAGCACACCCCAAAAAAAGGGAAAUUAACUUCCUGUCAAACUGACCCCAAAUACAGGUGGUCCUCGGCAUGUGAAAUAGUUCCCCUCCUGCGACGCGUUUAAAGUCGAAUUUUAGUGAAAGAGGGAAUUCAUACCGAAAGAGAACUUAACACAUAAAAUACAGUCAUAAAAAGUCUAAAUACAGUACAAUAAUUAAAUAAAACUAAUAAAAAGAGAGAGCUGUCCAUCUCCAUCGCUUGCUUACUGUCUCUUUCAUGGACGCACAUAUUUCAACAUGCUCAAGAAGGCCAUUUUAUCCUUAAUGAUGGUCGCCGCGGUUGAGACCAAAAGUGCAGCCAACAUAGGUAGACACUUCUCCCUCUCUCUCCAGCUUUCUAUGGUAAUGGCUUUCCUUUUCUUUGGUGCACUGCCCCAGAGGAGCCUGCCUUACACGUGGGAGACGUAACAAAGUGCAAAACAUUAACUAGUAUAUACAAACCCCGUUUCCAUUUGAGUUGGUAAAUUGUGUUAGAUGUAAAUAUAAACGGAAUACAAUGAUUUGCAAAUCUUUUUCAACCCAUAUUC